This 71-nucleotide transfer RNA is filed under the name Ophiognomonia clavigignenti-juglandacearum. Its description in RNAcentral is "tRNA-Gly". It matches the Rfam family "tRNA". From Rfam's summary of the family: Transfer RNA (tRNA) molecules are approximately 80 nucleotides in length. Their secondary structure includes four short double-helical elements and three loops (D, anti-codon, and T loops). Further hydrogen bonds mediate the characteristic L-shaped molecular structure. tRNAs have two regions of fundamental functional importance: the anti-codon, which is responsible for specific mRNA codon recognition, and the 3' end, to which the tRNAs corresponding amino acid is attached (by aminoacyl-tRNA synthetases). tRNAs cope with the degeneracy of the genetic code in two manners: having more than one tRNA (with a specific anti-codon) for a particular amino acid; and 'wobble' base-pairing, i.e. permitting non-standard base-pairing at the 3rd anti-codon position. The record is from RNAcentral. Lineage: Eukaryota; Fungi; Ascomycota; Sordariomycetes; Diaporthales; Gnomoniaceae.
ACGGCUAUCAUUCAAUGGUAGGAUGUCUGUCUUCCAAAUAGAGUAUGUCGGUUCGAAUCCGACUAGCCGUA